UACGUAGGGACCGAGCGUUGUCCGGAAUCAUUGGGCGUAAAGAGCGUGUAGGCGGCCCCUUAAGUCCUGCGUGAAAUCCUGCGGCUCAACCGCAGACGGUCGUGGGAAACUGGAGGGCUAGAGUGCGGGAGAGGAGAGUGGAAUUCCCGGUGUAGCGGUGAAAUGCGCAGAUAUCGGGAAGAACACCCGUGGCGAAGGCGGCUCUCUGGAACGCAACUGACGCUGAGACGCGAAAGCGUGGGGAGCGAACAGG
Molecule: ribosomal RNA, 253 nt
Filed under: uncultured bacterium
Lineage: Bacteria
Description: partial 16S ribosomal RNA
Rfam family: Bacterial small subunit ribosomal RNA
Source: RNAcentral